RNAcentral lists this ribosomal RNA (263 nucleotides) under uncultured bacterium. Its description in RNAcentral is "partial 16S ribosomal RNA". It matches the Rfam family "Bacterial small subunit ribosomal RNA", at positions 793 to 1055 of the family's 1533-position model. The record is from RNAcentral.
GUCCACGCUGUAAACGAUGUCUACUAGCCGUUGGGAGACUUGAUUUCUUAGUGGCGCAGCUAACGCAAUAAGUAGACCGCCUGGGGAGUACGGCCGCAAGGUUAAAACUCAAAUGAAUUGACGGGGGCCCGCACAAGCGGUGGAGCAUGUGGUUUAAUUCGAUGCAACGCGAAGAACCUUACCAGGUCUUGACAUCCAGAGAACUUGGCAGAGAUGCCUUGGUGCCUUCGGGAGCUCUGAGACAGGUGCUGCAUGGCUGUCGU